Molecule: ribosomal RNA, 253 nt
Filed under: uncultured bacterium
Lineage: Bacteria
Description: partial 16S ribosomal RNA
Rfam family: Bacterial small subunit ribosomal RNA
Source: RNAcentral
UACGUAGGGGGCAAGCGUUGUCCGGAUUUAUUGGGCGUAAAGAGCGUGUAGGCGGCUUUACAGGUCCGUUGUGAAAACUCGAGGCUCAACCUCGAGACGCCGGUGGAAACCGUAAGGCUAGAGUCCGGAAGAGGAGAGUGGAAUUCCUGGUGUAGCGGUGAAAUGCGCAGAUAUCAGGAGGAACACCGGUGGCGAAGGCGGCCUUCUGGACGGUGACUGACGCUGAGGCGCGAAAGCGUGGGGAGCAAACAGG